UUGGAGGGCAAGUCUGGUGCCAGCAGCCGCGGUAAUUCCAGCUCCAAUAGCGUAUAUUAAAGUUGUUGCAGUUAAAAAGCUCGUAGUUGAAUUUCGGGAUCAAUGUUUCGGUCAUGCCGUUGGUAUGUACUGAUAUUAUUGAUUUCUCACCUUCUAAAGAACGUAAUGCCAUUAAUUUGGUGUCCCGGGAAUUAGGACUUUACCUUGAAAAAAUUAGAGUGUUUAAAGCAGGCUAACGCUUGAAACACAUUAGCAUGGAAUUAAUGAAAUAGGACAUCCGAUUCUAUUUUGUUGGUUUCUAGGAUCGAUGUAAUGAUUAAUAGGGAUAGUUGGGGGCAUUAGUAUUCAAUUGUCAGAGGUGAAAUUCUUGGAUUUAUUGAAGACUAACUACUGCGAAAGCAUUUGCCAAGGAUGUUUUCAUUAAUCAAGAACGAAAGUUAGGGGAUCGAAGACGAUCAGAUACCGUCGUAGUCUUAACCAUAAACUAUGCCGACUAGGGAUCGGAUGAUGUUAAUUUUUUAAUGACUCAUUCGGCGCCUUACGGGAAAC
RNAcentral lists this ribosomal RNA (549 nucleotides) under uncultured Funneliformis. RNAcentral describes it as "SSU rRNA". It matches the Rfam family "Eukaryotic small subunit ribosomal RNA", at positions 548 to 1098 of the family's 1831-position model. Lineage: Eukaryota; Fungi; Glomeromycota; Glomeromycetes; Glomerales; Glomeraceae. The record is from RNAcentral.